Molecule: ribosomal RNA, 282 nt
Filed under: uncultured Bacteroidota bacterium
Lineage: Bacteria; Pseudomonadati; Bacteroidota
Description: uncultured Bacteroidetes bacterium partial 16S ribosomal RNA
Rfam family: Bacterial small subunit ribosomal RNA
Source: RNAcentral
AGGGGUAGAAGCAGCUUGCUGCUUUGAGACCGGCGCACGGGUGCGUAACGCGUAUACAAUCUACCUUUUACAGAGGGAUAGCCCAGAGAAAUUUGGAUUAAUACCUCAUAGUAUUUUCGAAUCGCAUGAUUUGAUUAUUAAAGUUCCAACGGUAAAAGAUGAGUAUGCGUCCCAUUAGCUAGAUGGUAAGGUAACGGCUUACCAUGGCAACGAUGGGUAGGGGUCCUGAGAGGGAGAUCCCCCACACUGGUACUGAGACACGGACCAUACUCCUACGGGAGG